Molecule: ribosomal RNA, 253 nt
Filed under: uncultured bacterium
Lineage: Bacteria
Description: partial 16S ribosomal RNA
Rfam family: Bacterial small subunit ribosomal RNA
Source: RNAcentral
UACGUAGGGUGCAAGCGUUAAUCGGAAUUACUGGGCGUAAAGCGUGCGCAGGCGGUUUUGUAAGUCUGACGUGAAAUCCCCGGGCUCAACCUGGGAAUUGCGUUGGAGACUGCAAGGCUAGAAUCUGGCAGAGGGGGGUAGAAUUCCACGUGUAGCAGUGAAAUGCGUAGAGAUGUGGAGGAACACCGAUGGCGAAGGCAGGCCCCUGGGUUAACAUUGACGCUGAUGCACGAAAGCGUGGGGAGCAAACAGG